RNAcentral lists this unclassified non-coding RNA (161 nucleotides) under uncultured Phaeococcomyces. RNAcentral's name for it is "sequence contains ITS1". The record is from RNAcentral. Lineage: Eukaryota; Fungi; Ascomycota; Eurotiomycetes; Chaetothyriales; Herpotrichiellaceae.
CUGAGACUGGGUUUGCUCCGGCAGCCCGACCUCCAACCCUUUGUCUACCUACCUUUGUUGCCUCCGGUGCCUUGGGCUUAACCGCCCUCGCCCGGGAAAGGCCGUUCAUUAAACUCUUUGUAUUAAACAAUGUCUUCUGAGAAACAAAUCAAUAAACUUCA